ACCUUUGCUCAAGUAAAAUUGAAAAGGAGUACUUGAUUUGUGUACUUCAUCCAACACUGGUACAUAGAACAAGAUUUAGAAAUGUUGAACAUAAAAUAGAAGAAUACAUUUUAUCUGGACAGCCCCUUAUUGUGUCUUAUAAGCGAGCCAAACUUUGUGACCAUGAUUUCAUAUACAUAUUACACACACCCAUGUUCAUAUACAUUUUAAUGUUUUCUCUAGUUAUCUGUUUUUUGUCACUCUUUUUCAGUUUGGAUACGUACAAUGCUUAUUUAUUCGUUAUUGUCAGGUUCUGUUAUCCUUGUUAUGAAUUGUAAAUGAUGUUAAUCACUUUUGAAAAAAAAAAAAAUGACUGAGAUAUUUGGGUUUCUUAUGCCUGUUUCACACUGGAUGUGUAAGCAGAGAUGAAGCAGCACAGAAGCUGCAUAUUUGCAGAGCGGAAGCGAUGCGCACUGUCAUGCCAUUUUAGUGCACAUUGUGGAUGCUCUAAUCUAUUCACAUGGGUGCUGAAAAAGUGCCUCAUAUGCCUCUAGUGUGAAACGAGCUUUACUUUCAAAAUGUUUGGUUUGUUUUUUGAUUACAUUUGUUUUGUAACACUUCUCUCCCACCUGUUGGCCCUGAGACCCUCCUCCUCUCCAUCUCCGCCUCUGCUGCUGCUCUGCAUGAUGGGUGCAGCCACUGAGAACAGUUUCCCAUCAGUUUUGUGCAUGCAGGUUUCAUCGCCUCCAUUGUUUGCUCCCGUCUGUGCUGUCAGUAGUUUUCUGGAACUCUUCAUCCUCUCCUAAGGAAAUUCUGGCAGCACAGACGAGGCUGGCUCAUGGGGUCCUGUCCUUUAUCUGUGGCUUUAUCCUCCCUUUUCUGCCCUUUUCCUCCCUUUAACAAAAUCACUGGCCAAGUCUCUGCUAUAAAACAGACCUUUGUCAGCUGUCUACAUGGGGAUUUAGUUUUUUUUUUUUUUCUUAUGUCCAACAUUAUCACACCUCAGAAUUAUGAAGUAAAAUUCACACCGUAAAAUUCUGUAAUCAUUUACUCAUUAAUGUUCUCGUUAUGAAAAAAUUUAACCCUUAUUGAACAACAAGGGGGGAACAUAAAUGAUGAUAACAUGUGGAAAAUAUUUGAAACUUUUUUUGUUGUCUGUACAGUAAAAGUCAGACUCAGUGGUGAUCAGUGUGGUUUUCUUUAGAUUUCUUUUGUGUCCUCUUGUUGUCUGUUGGUUUAAAAACCUAAAAUCUUUUUACACAUAAACUACCAAAAAUGACUUAUUAUAUAUAUAUAUAUAUAUAUAUAUUAUUAUUAUUAAUAUUGUUAUUAAUAUUAUAUUUUUUUCAUUCAAGGAAAAAAAUAAUGCUUAGAUUUGAGAGGCCAGUUAAAAUGAAUAUUAUGGUUUCAUAUUUAGAAUGAUCUUAGAAUUUUAUAAAAACUUUUUUCUAAGGUAAAUUUAGGUGUCUUUCCUAAAAAGAUGCUGGGAGACUACAAAUGUACAUAUAAUAACCAAUGAUAGAAUGUGGUGAUGCCAAAAUACCAUGAAUCCAGCAACCCUCACUUGACUGCCUAUAACUAUUGUAGGGAUACAUUCAUAAUUACUAAACAUAGCAAAAUAUGCAUGAAAAACAUAAAUCAAACUCAGCAAUUAUUCAGUCUGAUUCUCGUAUGUACAUAACACCAUUAAACAUUGUAGACUCCCCCAAAACACACCUCUUUGGCCAGUAUCAAUAAUAAAAAAAAACACUCUGCAAAAUAAUAACAAGACAGCAAAAAAAAAAAAGCACAUUUGCUUCUAAAGUCAAUUGUUACAUCCCUUUUCGUAGAACAUAAUUUGCCCAGGUUGCUGUUUCAGUGAAAGGGGCAAAAUUAUGGAAUGCUCUGCCAGAUUAGCCCCCGACAUUAGCCACCUUAAAAAAAAAAUCUAAUUGUGGUUAAUUCAGGAACAAUGUUGCUCUCAUAUUUAGUCUUUUGACUUUGCCCUUUCUGUAUACUUUUAGUCCUUUUUUAUUAUUUUCCAUUGUGUUACAUUUCUAUCCUUUUUUUUCCCCAUUCUUUUAUUAAUGUUGAUGUUUAUGUUGAUGAAUAUGAGACAAAACUACAGAAUGUCACAUUUUAUUAUUAGGUCUUUCGACACCAUACAUGUUUUACCAAAUAAAAAGGACAGCACUUUUAGAGUUCAUCCCCAUAUUUGAUGUGGGCAUAAGCAUUGGAACAGUUGAAUUUAAGGCAGAUGUAAAAGAUUAAAAGCUAAUAUUUAGUUGCAGAUCCCUUGCAGAGUCUGUAACCCAUAGUCGUCGUCAGACUCCUGGUCUUAUGUUGCUUGUUUGGGGAGUUUCUGUCUUUAGUCACCUCUUCAGAUGGUGAAAUUUAACGUUCAAUCAGAUUUAAAUCUGGAGAUUGAUUUGGGCAAUAAAGUCCUUGACUGAACUGUCAGGGUGUUUUGGGUCAUUUUCCUGAUCCAUUCUGAAGUGCUUUCUAAUUAAUUUGGUGGCAUUUUUAUAAAAUAUUGGUAGCCAAGAUGAUUUUGUACCCCCUUCCAAAUUCAUUCUGCUACUGCCAUCAUACAUUAAGUCAUUAUUAAAAUUAAGAGGUCCUGUUCUAGAGACAUCAAUGCAUCCCCAUGCCAUGACACCACCUCCACCAAUCUUUACAGAUGAGGUUGUAAGCUUAGGAUCAUUUGCAGUUCCCUUUUUUCUCCACACUUCUGCUGUCCAAUCACUUAGGUAAAGGUUAAUCUUUGUCCGUCAACUUCGUUCCAAAACUCUACUGAAGAAUCUUGCCUUUCUAUUUUUGGUGCUGAUCAGAGGUUUGCAUUUUGCUGUGUAGAUUCUAUAAUUCUGUGUCAUUCUCAUGUGGACUGUAGAUUGACAGAGCAUCACCACAGCUUUCUGGAGGUUGUUGGUGAUUUUACAGACAUAUAUUUAAGGGUCAUUUUCACAGCUUUUUUGAUUUGUCUGUCAACAACUACUGUUAUUUUUCUCAGACGAUCAUGUUGUCAUUGGUUGCUGAUGUCGCUGGUAGUUUCCGAACUCUUGAUUUCUCCAUGCCCUUUUUUUCCUAUAGUUCUAAUUGACUUCCUCUUUUCUUUUAGCAUCCAAAUUGCUUGCUUUUUCUUUUCAGAAUCGCUUUCCUCAUCUUCAUCCUGGUUUGUGUAAGCCAUCAUUGAAUACAAGAAUUAGAAUGCAGAAGCAAUGGAUAUAACUGAUAAGAUCCAUUUCCUGCUUUUAAUAUCUGAAGAAUUAAUGCAACAGAACACAGCUGAACACUUAGAAAGACCUGUGAGGCAACUGUUCCAAUACUUUUGCUCACAUCAGAUUGGGAGAUGAAAGUAUAAAAGUGCUGAUCUUCUUAGCUGGUAAAACAUCUUUGUGUUGAAUCACCCAAUAUUAAAACGUGACAUUCUGUAGUUUUGUUUCAAUUGAAUCUUUUAAUCAUAUUUACAGAUUUCUUGACUCAACAGCAAACAGAACAAUUUUGUCUUUACUGUUCCAAUACAUAUUGAGGGUACUGUAUGUGGUUUAUUUGUUUGAAUCAUUAAUAGCAGACUCACAUAUACUGUACGACUCUUUCGACUCUCCACUGUUUUGAAUUGACAGUUUGAAUGCAUUUUUGUACUGGAUUCUUGGACUGAUAACUUUUAGCAGCCUGAAAUUACCUGAUUGCAAACCAGAAUGCUAAAACAAUCUCUCUUGUGAAAAAGUGAAAGUGACGUGACAUUCAGCCAAGUAUGGUGACCCAUACUCAGAAUGUGUGCUCUGCAUUUAACCCAUCCAAAGUGCACACACACAGCAGUGAACACAAACCCGGAGCAGUGGGCAGCCAUUUAUGCCCGGGGAGCAGUUCGGGGGUUCAGUGCCUUGCUCAAGGGCACCUCAGUCGUAUUGCCGACCCGAGUCUCGAACCUCUAACCACUAGGCCACGACGCCCCCAUUGUUCAAAUAUCACUUUUUGAAGUACUGUUUCCACAAUAAUUUACUAAUCGAAAGUCUUCAGGAGAUGAAUCUUUAGCUUUUAAGCUCUCAAAUGGUAUUUAAUUUAUGAAGAUUAAUUGAAUAAUUAAUGUUAAAAAAAAUCCAUUUACAACUGCAAUUUAAGUGGCUAUACAUAGACAACUGACUGUCUCUGCCAGAAAGCUUAAACUAGGCAGUGGUGGUUGUUGGUCUUGCUUGCAGGACAAGCAUCAAAAGCAAAAUAAACACAAAAAUGAUUCACAGAAUUAACGUUUUGUGGUGCUUAUUCCAGUCCCCUGAUUUGUUUUCGAAUGCACAUGCUGGAAUUUCACAGAACAGGAUGUCUGUAGUCCAGUCUGAAGUAGUCUCAUGUUUGCAAAGGGUGGAGGAUUGAGCUGGAGUUAGUAUUUUCUUAGCCUUGCUGAGAUGUCUGACCAGCUGGAAAGGUCUGUGCUGCUGCUGUUGGAUUGUCUGGCUGAAAUGAGAAGUUAAGCUGUAUGUCAUCCAUGUAACAUAUUUUGUUACAUAAACCAUGUGCCAACCAGUGUUGGGUAUAGUUACUUUGGAAAGUAGUUAGUUAGGUUACAACGUUACCAUCAAUUAAAAGUAAUCAGUUAUGAUACAGCGUUACCUAUUCAUAAAAGUAACGCGUUAGAGUACUCAUGCGUUACCAAAAAUUAAAAGCCAUUUGCAGCGGCUCACACGACAGACACAGCCCCCGGCCCCUUUAAAUGCACCUAAAAGUGGUGACUCCCGACAAUGAAUAACGUCAGUCAUCCGACUAAAUUAACACUGCAGGAUAACUAUAACAGGAAAGACCGUCACCAAUCGGCUAUUCCACAUGGCGUUUUAUUUAUUUAUUAUCACAGAACAUAUUAUUAAUCAAAAUUCACACCUAACGUUACCCAGCCCGGGUAGCCUAGGCUACUGUAUAUUAUGAGCACCACAAGAUAACUCCUGAUUUUUCUUUAACUUUAAAUAAUGCAGUUAUCAAAGUACAAGUAUGCUUACUUGUAAACACAACCUUAAACAGGCUUGCAGAUUUAAAUCCAUUCAGAAAUGAUGAACAACCAGCCAGCCAAUGAUCUAACAGAAAUUAACAGCUGCCUGUCAAACAAAAAUGAUAACAAACCGAAUAAAAUCCUUCACUGCCACACAGGCAAAUGACAAAUCGCUUAAUAGCCGAACUAAUUAUUAUUAAAGUGUCACUCACAGUCACAAGCCUAAAUUCGCUUUAACACAGUCCUCUUACAUUUACUCUUCAAAGUAGUGAUUAAAACGUAGCGUUAAAUUUGAGGUAGAAUUUUUGGCGGUCGACAGAAGCUUUUCACCAAAGCAAAGUGUGCAUUUUACCGUUAUGUUCUUUUCUUUUUCGUUGACAAAUUGAAAAUAAUGUGCGUACUUCCAUAAAUCAAACGCUGUCCUCUCUGCUAUCUUGCCGGGAGUUUGAAAAAAAAAAAAGCCCCACACACACAUAGGGUCAGGCGCAGGGCACAGACGCAUCACAGCCAUUGACUUUACGAUCACAGAGCUUCGGCUCCACUGAUACUGUACAUCCGCAGGUGGCACAGUAGACCUAGGACUACUGUCUGACAAAAAGCAGGCUGCAGUCGGGAUUUUCCUUUCCUUAAAAUAACUUACGCACGAAACUAACGCGUUAAGUUACAAAUUUCAGGAAAAAAGUAAUUAGAGUACUCUAACACGUUACUUUGUAACGCGUUACCCACAACACUGGUGCCAACUGCCUUGAAGUGUGAACAAACCUUUAGGUACCUAGGUGACAAUGUCAGCUAACCUCCAAGAAACUGAUAAGUCUGCCUGUGAGGAAAUUUUCCAUUUGGUGCAAAACAAAAAAAAAGAAGUAAAGCAUGGAUCCAUCCUUUCCUGUAUCAAUUUGCCUUAAAUGGAUAGUUUACACCAAAAUAAAAAUUCUGUCAUUAAUUACUCUCUUAUGUCGUUCCAGACCCAUAAGACCUUUGUUCAUUUUUGGAACACAAAUUAAGAACAAAUUAAGAAAGCCAGUACCACAACCCAUGCAUGUACAUUCUUCUUGCAAACAACCGGGAUCUCCGUCUGAAUGCAGGCUUCUGCAUUAGCAACACCACACGCAUGCAUUGUGGUUAGGGCUGGGAUAAACGAUUAUUUUUUUGAUGCAUCGAUUAAUCUAACGAUUAAUUUUUUCAGACCGAUUCGAUUUCAAUUAUCUCCCCAUUAAUUGACUACUAACAACUUAUACAUGUUGAUUUACAUAUCUGAAUGAAAAAAAACAUGAAUUCCUUAACAUUGCAAUAUAUGUUUAUUGCUCUUAAAAUAAAAGACUGACUAAGAAUGCAUUACUUUGCACUUGUAUAGAGAUAGCAUUCAAUAAAACCUUGAAGCCUUGAAAACACAUAGCAUUCAAUAAAACCUUGAAGCCUUGAAAACACAUAGCUUGAAAACAUAGGGCCUAGCUUACUGAAAAAAAGUUAUUCUUUCAGAUGAAAAUAACAACAACUUGAUGUCUAGCAUUCAAUAAAAAAGGUCACUCAAAAUACUUGUUUAGAGCAGUUGAAAGAAUACAGUAACCAAUGUAAACUUGAGGGCUUUAAGCUAAUACAGAGAGUGCUUUUCCAAAAAAAUAAAAAAUAAAUUUACAGUGGGAGCCAGCAGCCUGUCAUGGAGAAAAGAAAAAAAAAAUCCCUGAAUGCUCCAUGUGAAACUUUGGCGUUCCGCCCUUUCUCUAUCGUGUCUAAUGAUUUUGGUUAAUAUGCACGAGAGAGGGAGAGAGAGAGAGAGAGAGAGAGAGAGACAGAGACAGAGAGAGAGCAAGACAGCGCUUGUGUAGUUUGAAGACUGUGAUUGCGCGAGCGCGCGUGAAACUUUGGUGUUUCCCCUUUUUCUAUCGUGUUUAAUGAUUUUGAUUAAUAUGCACAAGGGAGAGAGAGAGCAAGAAGCGCUCGUCUUGUUUGAAGACUGUUAGUGCGUGCGCGCAGCCGGGGCUCUCUCUCGUAUGUGCCCUGUCAGGCGCAGGAGUCAUUCUAUUCUACAUCACUCAAAGAUCAAAUAAGGCUUUGACAGGCGCCAAAAAAAAGAUCAAUGCAGAAAAACCCCUGGAUUGGUCAUAUAACGUUGGACAGAAUGUUGAUCCGGCCAUCGCGUAUAUUCAGUGCACAUAAGGUAAACGUUUUGCAAAUGUUUUUUAGAGAAAUAAAAACUGGUCGACGAAUCGAUGCGCAUAUUUUGCGUCAACGUAUUUUUUGUUGUCCCAGCCCUAAUUGUUGUACUUUAGUGAAUGUGCAUCGAAGUCCGACACAGAAGAGAAGAAAUUGUUGAAUAAAGUAAUUUUUUGUUGUUGUUUUUGUUUUCUUUGCACACAGAAAGUAUUCUCGUAGCUUCAUAAAAUUAAGGUUGAACCACUGAUGUCAGAUGGACUAUUUAAACAAUGCCCUUACUACGUUUCUGAGCCUUGAAUGUGAUAGUUCCGUUUCUGUCCAUCCUGGGUCAGAUUUUUAAAAAAAAUAUCUUAAUUUGUGUUCUGAAGAUGAACAGAGGUCUUUGAGGUUGGGAACGACAUGAGGGUGAGUAAUUAAUGACAGAAUAUAAUUUUUUUUGGGUAAGAUAUCCCUUUAACACUGUCAGUGGGUAUUUUCAAUUUCUGACCCAAGUAUUCUUAGUUUUUGUAUACUUUGAACUUCAAACUAUACUCCAUUUGAUGUGUGCGAACGCAGGCAAUCUAGAAAGCUUUAUCCAUAUCCAGUGUCUGCUCUUUUUUUUUUUUUUCUCCCAUCAAGUUAUGACUGCUAACAAAUAUUUUUUAACUCUUUUCCAAACCAAAGCAGAGCUGUCUUGCUCAUAAAGCUUGUCGGUGUGUUGUAUUUUGCAGUCUCUGCUGGUUUGGUGUCUUAUGUUUCUAUGUUUUUCUUCUUUUCUUUUUUGGUACUGUGUAACAAUGGCCCAGGAUAGUGUUGCCACCUUGUGUAAAAACUGAUUAUUGCAAAAAAACUUCAGUGCGCAUGUGCGAACUGCGUUCACAAUGUACAAAGUCCCUUGCAUACUCAUAACAAGUGAAGUAUACUUUGGGCUUAAGAAAAACAGAAUGGGGGUCGAUUGUGCUAGUAAUGAUGUUAAAAAUGAAAUGCAUUGUUGCAGUGACUAUAAUUAAGAGCUCAUAAUGAAGUCUCACGCUAAAUUAAGGAUAAUGAUCAAAAUUAUCACUUGCCUUACUAACCUUAUUGAUGUUGCUACAUGUACUCACACAAUUGUAAUGCAGUUGUCUAGACUGAUUUCUUACGGAAUCAUAAUUGUAGUCAUAUACUACUUUGUUCAGGGUGUCCCACUUUCACUUCCAUGCUAUAGUUGAUUGAAAGACUCUUCAGGUGGCAUUACCCAUUUAUUGCUAUAACCAAGGUGAAUUGUUAUAAUUUCUGGAAAUAAUUCUCAAAAAGCUGUUUCUUGCUGUAGUUUGCACUGUAAAUAUCAUUGUGGCUUAUAUAGGUCUUGCAUAUUUUAAUCUUCUGGUCCACAGUCCACAGAAGCUGAAUUUGCAAUAUGUGCUCCUACCUGAUGCUUUCCGGACCUUUUUCACUCUCUAAUCUGCACUAGAAUUACCUAGCUGUCUCUCCUCAAUCCUGAUUUUGUAUUCGCCCUCCAUUGCCCUAAACAUAUUUGAUCCAUUGCCUUUGUCUUGUGGCACAAAACUGAUUGAGGAUGACUGGUUGUUUCCUGGCUGCUCCGAUCCAGAAUUAGCCAAUCGGCAAGAGGAAGUGGAGGAGGAGUUGGCCCAGGCCCGUGGACUCUGCACACAGAAAAGCAGGAAGCCCAAAUAUUUCACCCCACACAGCCUGCAGGAGGACUUGGAAUUUCAUAGUAGGCAAGACCCAAUAAGCCCCACUGAUUGCGAUGUUCUUGUAAAUGGAGAGAACAUGGGUGGAUGGUGGCCACAGCACAGUGCUGCAGAUACAGAUGGCUUGAGGUCUGUUGUUGCGGAGCUUGAACUCGAGAGAAACCAACUGCAGGAACAGAUUUUGGUCCUUGAGAAUCAGUGCCAAGAUCUAGAGGACCGUCUGCAACUUCAGGCUCGCAUUGAAUUACUACAGGUACACAGAAACUGUUUGGACUGUACGUAUAACAGCGUUAUCAAUAUCAGCUUCUGGAGUUACACUGCUUGCCAACUGACCCUUUGCUAAGCCUGCUCUCUCAAUUACUGUAGCUGUCUGUCACUAAAUUAUUGGAUUGGAUUGCCCCAGGAAUCAUUAAAUAAAGUGGAAAUGCAUCAGGCCUAGUCACUUUAUUUACCUUCCUAUAAUCUGCACCGAAGCAAUUAAUCUCAUCCUUUUUUCCCAUCAAAAACCAUCUAUAAUCCAACAAAUGAGUCAAUAUAACAUUUUUUAAGGGGUGGUUGACUGCGAUUUCAUUUUUCUGCAUUUCUCUCUCUCUCUCUCUCUCUCUCUCUCUCUCUCUCUCAUCUGAUUGUAGGCUCCUAUAAACUGUGUUCCAAUUAUACACUUUAAAUGUAAAUGUAUGACUUACAGUGAACUCAGGAUAUCAAUUUUUACCUAUCAUGUGUUCCCGGGGAAUCAAACCCCCAACUUGCGCUUUGAUAAUACAGUGGUCUACCAAUUGAGCUACAGGAACUAAUUAUGUGUAUAGACAGACAGAUAUUUUUACAUAGCUAUGGGAAGAAUUAAAUAUGGACUCACAUGCAGCUGCCAUGGUGUAUUAAAGCUUUAAUCAGGAUAAAACCGUAUUUUAAAAGCUAGCAACAACAACAACAAAAAAAAAAAACAUGCUGUUAAGAGCCGUAUGCUUGCACAGGUUCUGUGCGAUCCUCUUCACUAAUAUCCUCUGCAUCUCUGUCACGCUCCACUUGUAGUCUCACUUCCCCAUAGGCACCUCACCGUAGGCACUACAAUUCCCACAAAGCCUUGUCCCUUCAUCACAGUAAUUGCACUCUUGUUAAUUGCACUAAGGUGUCUUCACUUGAUAGUCAUUACCCUUGCCUAUAUUAACCGGUCUUUUUCUGUUUGUCUUCAUGGAGUCCUUUCAUUCAGUCACCCAGUUUCCUCCUCUUCUUCCGAAUUUCCUGUUCCAGUUCCUAUUCCCAUUCCUGUUCUCUCCCUGUUUGUUUGUUGUUGGGGAGGUGGGUUCUACGUCACAUGUGUUCUGGACCCUGGCGGAUGGUAUGGGAUAUAAUGAUGUGGCCCUUAAAUACAUUUUCAACACCGGUCUGGAUGACCCGGUGCCUCGAAGGGAAAUGGACCAGUUGGACGCUUAUAAUUUCUGGUAGCUUGUGUUCUACCUACAACAUCGGUCUCCGUGGAAUACCCCAGCCACAUUCUCCUGGUGGGAUGGCCGAUUCUAGACUGGGGUCUACAAACAGGAGGACCGCCAGCCCAGCGCCACUGCACAAGAUGGCCGCCAGCCCAGCGCCACAGCACAAGAUGGCCACCAGCCCAGCGCCACAGCACAAGGUGGCCGCCAGCCCAGCGUCACAGCGCAAGAUGGCCGCCGUCCCAGCGCCACUGCCCAAGAUGGCCGCCGGUCCAGAGUCAUGACACAAGAUGGCCGCUUGUCCAGUGCCUCUGCACAAGAUGACAGCCACAGUUGACCCUCCAAAGUCGAGUCAGGUUCCUGUUGACCCUCCAGAGUCGAGUCAGGUCAAGUCACUGUUGACACUCCGGAGUCAGGUUAAGUCACCAGUGAUCUUCAUGGACAAAGGCAAGUCACCAUUGAUCUUCAUGGGCAAGGGCAAGUCACCAAUGAUCUUCAUGGGCAAAGGCAAAUCACCAUUGAUCUUCAUGGGCAAAGGCAAGUCACCAUUGAUCUUCAUGAGCAGAGUCAGGUCACCAAUGAUCUUCAUAAGCAGAGUCAAGUCACCAAUGAUCUUCAUUAGCAGAGUCAAGUCAUCAUUGGUCUUCCUGAAUCCAGUCCAAACACCACGGAAUCCGCACCUCUGCUGAACUACCAGAGCUUCUCCACGUCUCGGCUGAACUACCAAGGUCUCUCCACGUCUCUGCUGAACUACUAGAGCCUCUCCACAUCUCGGCUGAACUACCAGAGCCUCUCCUCGUCUCUGGAGAACUUCCAGAGCCUGGUGGGCUUCUGUCUCGACUGCACGGAAGUGGUGGUCUUCUGUGCCGCCCGGGUGGGCUUCUGUCUCGACCGCACAGAAGUGGUGGUCUUCUGCCGCAAAUAUCACAUUUGAAUAUUUGAGCUCACAAAAAAACGUAUAUUUGAAUAUUUGUUUAUUUGAAUUAAGUUCAAUGAGACAGACGUUAUUUUUCAUUAAUAUUUGUUGUUUCCAUCAUUUUGAACAAGCUUACACACAAUAAGCUUGAACACAUCGUGUUUUGUAGCUGAAAACCUUUAACAAUGCGUGCAAACAAACAAAAGUACAGAUUAAAAGCAAAAAAAAAGGUGAACAAAUAUAAAAUGUAAAGCAGCCUGCAGCAAUAGGCUAUUGUAGAACGUAGCCUACACUUUUAAACUUUUAAACUGUCAGCAAUCUUUUUUUCUAUUGUUUAACAUGUUCUUGUUAAGAAAUACGGGCAUGUAUACAUGGUCAGGGGAAAGUCGGCUCUUUAGUCUGUUAACAAUAAGGCCGGCCGUGGAGAAAACACGCUCUGACGGCACAGACAUUGGCAGGACUUACAAAUAAUGGUGUGCUAAGCGAAUAAGUUUUGUGAAGCGCUUCGUGUUUUUAUUUCACCACUGAAUGGGAUCCUCAUCUGGUGGAAUACCUGGCACCAGCAAGAACUGUUCCCACUCGUCUCGGCUGGACUCUCUGUAAUCAUUGCUUAAGAACUGGCUCAACCUUUUCCGACGAGUGGGCAUUGCAUCCUCUUCAUCGUUGGUGACGGCGGCUGCAUCCGCACCACUCGCAUCAAGGAAAAUGUUCUGAUAAUGUUCAAAUUAUUUUUUUUACUUCUCAUGUUUUCAUCGAGAAACCUGAGAUGUUUGUGCUGAGGGUCUAGGGCAGAUGUGAGAAGAGGAGUUUUCACUGCAAAUCAAGUUAACGGUGUUUAUUCGUUGCUUGAGAGAUGCUGCAACAAUGUUCUUGAAUUUGAUCUCUUUCUGUGAUUCUCCACGGCAUAUUUGAAGGACUGUAGAAGACCACAGUUCUUAGGGGCCAUUCAAAUAUUGCGUCUUUUGGGCGCUCAAGUUCGUUAUUUCCAAUCUAGGCGCGGUAUGCUCGCUCAUAAUGGAAGCGACGCGGUCACGAUUCGCACGAUUUGCUGAGUUUAGGUUUGAAGAUUAUGAAAAUUCAUAUUUACAGUAAAGAAGUAAAAGGAACUGAAAUUGUGAAUAUUAACAUUGUUUUCCAGUGUACUAUAAAAUAAUUACAAUUUUAUUUAAUACUCAUUUUCUAUUUUAAAACAAUGGUAUUAUAUGGUGUUUAUUUAUUAAUAUUUAUUAUUUAUCAUUUAGUAAAAAUAAUAAUAAUAAUAAUAACUAAAUAAAGUGCAACAAUGCUAUUAUUAAUUUAUUUUUUAUAGUAGGUCACACUAUGCUCAAGGUGAUCGCCAAACCAAAUCUUCAGGUGCUCUGAUGAGAACCAGACUGAGAAAAAUUAUUUGCAUCUCUGAUUAUAGCACGAUAUUGACGUGUACUCCAGUUUUAUCAAAGGAUUAUUGUUGCAGUGCAUAUAUCCCAUUUUUAUGAGUUUUUGUGAAAGUGCAGAACUGAGUCAGUGAGCUGACACUUUCGGUGGAUACAGUUUUCAAAAGUUGAAUAUGUAUUUUUUUUUUUAUAGUGCUAAGACAGAGGCACCAAACUCAGUUCCUCUAUGGCCACAGCCAAAAGGAUUUUAGCUUCUUCCUUAAUUAAACACACCUGAUUCAGCUAAAUACGUCUUUCGCAAUUUAAAAACCACAGGAAUGAGUGUUGGAGCAGGGUCGGAGGUAAACAGCAGCUGGAAUAAUUCAAGUGAGCAUGUCUUUGACUUGAGGUCAUGAUUUAAUUUAGCAAUUUCUGUAUUGCAUUAGUUUUGAAUAUUUCUCAUGGGCAUGUAAUAAUUUUUUACUUUGUGGUGUGUUAAACUUUUUUUUUUCUUUUUUUUUUUUACGCAUUUUACCUGUAAAAGGAAACCUGCUUAAUAAUUAUGCACACCUGAGUAUAAGGCAUUUUUCACUUCCAGCCAUUGUUAACAAUUACACAUCACUUUGAUUAAAUUGGUUAUUAAAUUUGAUGCGGUUUGUAAUUGGUAAAUUGUACGUGGAAAACAAAUAUGGCCAGAAUAUCAACUUGCAUAAUAAUUCCACUGUAGUUGUAAUGUUUACAAAAAAAUCUGGGUUAGAGUAAUACCCUUACAAUGGAGGUGAAUGGGGUCACAUUUUGGAGAAUAUAAGGUCAGACAAGGUCCAAAAUGCAACAGAAUAUGAUAACAAAAAGUUCUAAAAAAAUAAUUACUUAAAGGGUUACUUCACCCCAAAAUGAACAUUUUAUCAUUAAUCACUUACCCCCAUGUCAUUCCAACACCAAAAAAACUUUGAUCAUCUUCAGAACACAAUUUAAAAUAUUUUGAAUGAAAACCGGGAUGCUUGUGACUGUCCCAUUGACUUCCAAGUAAAUGACACUGUCUAGGUCCAGAAAAGUACUGCCAACAGUGGUUCAACCGUAACGUUAUGAAGUAACAAAAAGAAAAUAUUUUUUCAAAAUUUGUCUCCUCUGUCUCCCUGCAGCUGUGCUGUGGUAAACAUGGAACUUUUCCUUGACAUGAAACGGUAAAUAAUCAAACCAGUGGAAGCAGUGCGUUUAUCCUUUAUUCAUGCAAAAUCUAUUCAGUCAGUAUCGCUUUCUCUGCUGCGGUCGAAUUGGGCUCUGCCAUCUUCCAUGCAAGACACAUCAACUUUCAGUAGUGACGCUGUGCCAGACAGUGCAACUCCUGUGACCUGUCCCUGAACCCUCAGACGCGCUAGCGUGCCCACUCGCAAAGCAGACAGCCACUCCUCUACUACCGCGGUUGUUGUUUUUUUACACUUUUUUUUAAAUUCAAAUAUAAAUUUUCACCUUCAAAAUUCGUUUUUUUAAAACUAUUCAAAUAUAUAUUUGAAUUUAGAAUAUUCAUUGACAGCCCUAAUUAGCAGUGUUAGUUUAAGAUUUUAACAUGAACAUCUGCUGUUUAUUUCUCUCAAUGUGCACACUUUUAUGGCAUUGUUUAAUUUGGUUCAAUGGUUGGUGCACAAUUUGGUUAAGAGUAAAAAAACUCUUAACUUUUGGGAGGACACUAGCGCACAGAAAGGUUCCUUGUUUACUAGUUCAGAGUUACUGCUAGUUUUAAUAUAAAAGAAUGCAAUUACCUUCAUAAACUAUAACCUAAAUCAUUAAAAAGGUCUACAACUCAAGUUUCAUAUCGAUCUCAACUUCGUUUUUCAUUUACAUAAAUCCUGGCAUAAAUAGAAAUGAAAAUAAAUUACUUUCACUGAAAGAUUAAAACAAAACAAAAAUUAAGCUGGAGACUUUUUGGUUUAAAAUUAUUAAAAUUUCUCGUACAUUAAAUGUGUAAACAAACAAACCAGUGUGGUGAAUU
Molecule: long non-coding RNA, 14442 nt
Organism: Carassius gibelio (silver crucian carp)
Lineage: Eukaryota; Metazoa; Chordata; Actinopteri; Cypriniformes; Cyprinidae
Exons: 3
Source: RefSeq, a predicted model, not a curated record